AAACUUAAAGGAAUUGACGGGGCCCGCACAAGCAGUGGAGUAUGUGGUUUAAUUCGAAGCAACGCGAAGAACCUUACCAGGGCUUGACAUCCCUUGAAGCAGCUAGAGAUAGCUGUGUCCUUUCGGGACAAGGAGACAGGUGGUGCAUGGUUGUCGUCAGCUCGUGUCGUGAGAUGUUGGGUUAAGUCCCGCAACGAGCGUAACCCCUGUGGUUAGUUGCCAGCAAGUAGCGUUGGGCACUCUAGCCAGACUGCCGGUGAUAAAUCGGAGGAAGGUGGGGACGACGUCAAAUCAUCAUGCCCUUUAUGUCCUGGGCUACACACGUACUACAAUGGCCGUUACAACGGGAAGCGAAGGAGCAAUCCGGAGCAAAUCCCUUAAAGGCGGUCCCAGUUCAGAUUGUGGGCUGAAACUCGCCCACAUGAAGGCGGAAUUGCUAGUAAUUGCAGAUCAGCACGCCGCGGUGAAUACGUUCCCGGGCCUU
Molecule: ribosomal RNA, 484 nt
Filed under: uncultured bacterium
Lineage: Bacteria
Description: bacterial SSU rRNA
Rfam family: Bacterial small subunit ribosomal RNA
Source: RNAcentral